GACGAACGCUGGCGGCGUGCUUAACACAUGCAAGUCGAACGGAAAGGCCCUGCUUUUGUGCGGUGCUCGAGUGGCGAACGGGUGAGUAACACGUGAGUAACCUGCCCUUGACUUUGGGAUAACUUCAGGAAACUGGGGCUAAUACCGGAUAGGAUCUCCUGCUGCAUGGUGGGGGUUGGAAAGUUUCGGCGGUUGGGGAUGGACUGGCGGCUUAUCAGCUUGUUGGUUGGGUAGUGGCUUACCAAGGCUUUGACGGGUAGCCGGCCCGAGAGGGUGACCGGCCACCUGGGGACUGAGAUACGGACCAGACUCCUACGGGAGACAGCAGGGGGGAAUAUGGCACAGUGGGAGGAAGCCCGAUGCAGAAACGCCGCGGGCGGGAUGACGGCCUUCGGGUUGUAAACCGCUUUAGCCUGUGACGAAGCGUGAGUGACGGUAAUGGGUAAAGAAGCACCGGCUAACUACGUG
RNAcentral lists this ribosomal RNA (468 nucleotides) under uncultured bacterium. RNAcentral describes it as "partial 16S ribosomal RNA". It matches the Rfam family "Bacterial small subunit ribosomal RNA", at positions 28 to 507 of the family's 1533-position model. The record is from RNAcentral.